This 113-nucleotide non-coding RNA is filed under the name Brenneria rubrifaciens. RNAcentral's name for it is "antisense sRNA RprA". It matches the Rfam family "RprA RNA". Rfam says of the family: Translational regulation of the stationary phase sigma factor RpoS is mediated by the formation of a double-stranded RNA stem-loop structure in the upstream region of the rpoS messenger RNA, occluding the translation initiation site. Lineage: Bacteria; Pseudomonadati; Pseudomonadota; Gammaproteobacteria; Enterobacterales; Pectobacteriaceae. The record is from RNAcentral.
AAGGAGCUAGUUUUUAACCUGCUGUUUGUCAACAAGGUUUCCUCCUCGUCAGAGUUAGUAACGAAUUGCUGUGUGUAGUCUUUGCCCAUCCCCUGAGAUGGGCUUUUUUUUAU